This is a non-coding RNA of Sciurus carolinensis (gray squirrel), 324 nucleotides long. The record is from the annotation of a RefSeq genome assembly. NCBI's taxonomy places the organism in Eukaryota, Metazoa, Chordata, Mammalia, Rodentia, Sciuridae.
AUGGCCCAGACAGUCACCCAGUCUCAAACAGAAAUGUCUGUGCAGGAGGCUGAGACCACCACCCUGGACUGUACUUAUGACACUAAGGAUAGCAAUUAUCAUUUGUUCUGGUACAAGCAAACUCCCAGUGGGCAGAUGAUUCUAAUCAUCCGCCAAGGAGCUUAUAAGCAAGAGAAUGCAACAGAGAAUCGCUUCUCAGUAAACUUCCAGAAAGCCGCCAAGUCCUUGAGUCUCAAGAUCUCAGACUCACAGCUGGGAGAUGCUGCUGUGUAUUUCUGUGCCCUCAUGGAGAACACAGUGAGACAAGCAACAGGGAGAGGCUGA